Molecule: transfer RNA, 87 nt
Filed under: Candidatus Borkfalkia ceftriaxoniphila
Lineage: Bacteria; Bacillati; Bacillota; Clostridia; Christensenellales; Christensenellaceae
Description: Candidatus Borkfalki ceftriaxensis tRNA-Leu
Rfam family: tRNA
About the family: Transfer RNA (tRNA) molecules are approximately 80 nucleotides in length. Their secondary structure includes four short double-helical elements and three loops (D, anti-codon, and T loops). Further hydrogen bonds mediate the characteristic L-shaped molecular structure. tRNAs have two regions of fundamental functional importance: the anti-codon, which is responsible for specific mRNA codon recognition, and the 3' end, to which the tRNAs corresponding amino acid is attached (by aminoacyl-tRNA synthetases). tRNAs cope with the degeneracy of the genetic code in two manners: having more than one tRNA (with a specific anti-codon) for a particular amino acid; and 'wobble' base-pairing, i.e. permitting non-standard base-pairing at the 3rd anti-codon position.
Source: RNAcentral
GCGAGUGUGGUGAAAUUGGCAGACGCGCUAGAUUCAGGUUCUAGUGGAGGCGACUCCAUGCAGGUUCAAGUCCUGUCACUCGCACCA